GUGGCUUCUGGAGCUAACGCGUUAAAUCGACCGCCUGGGGAGUACGGCCGCAAGGUUAAAACUCAAAUGAAUUGACGGGGGCCCGCACAAGCGGUGGAGCAUGUGGUUUAAUUCGAUGCAACGCGAAGAACCUUACCUACUCUUGACAUCCAGCGAAUCCUUUAGAGAUAGAGGAGUGCCUUCGGGAGCGCUGAGACAGGUGCUGCAUGGCUGUCGU
Molecule: ribosomal RNA, 217 nt
Filed under: Proteus sp. (in: enterobacteria)
Lineage: Bacteria; Pseudomonadati; Pseudomonadota; Gammaproteobacteria; Enterobacterales; Morganellaceae
Description: Proteus sp. partial 16S ribosomal RNA
Rfam family: Bacterial small subunit ribosomal RNA
Source: RNAcentral